RNAcentral lists this long non-coding RNA (595 nucleotides) under Rattus norvegicus (Norway rat). RNAcentral describes it as "long non-coding RNA NONRATT033333". Lineage: Eukaryota; Metazoa; Chordata; Mammalia; Rodentia; Muridae. The record is from RNAcentral.
GUGACCCUGGCCCCAUGCCCAGGAGCAAGAGGUUGUCCUGAUGACGGUCCCCGCCCUGUCCUCUACCACAUCUGGCCUGGGUAUGCCCACACCACAGUACACAAGGCCCUCGGGUCAUUUCUGGGUCUGAAGUGUGUGCUCAGCUCUGGACUGACACAUUAGCCACAUCAGCAGCCAGAAUCCUCCUAUUGUCCCCUCAACACCCGGACAACCGAGGUGUUCCAGCUGUGGGAAACGGAGGCUUCGCGCCGCAAGGAAAGAGCCAAAGUCGUCCAGGGCUACUCUGAAAAGAGAGCACCUCCAAAACCAUGCUAAAGCCAAGCACAGUGGCAGAUGCCUGAAAUCUGAGCAUUUAGGAAGCAGAGACAGAAGGAACGGAAGUCUAGGGGCAGCCUGUGCUACAUACCUGUCAAACUUAAGGCAACGCGGGCCACCUGAGAUCAUGUCUCACAAAAACAAGAGCAAAAGCUCUCUACCCAAACAACAUGUACAUCUGUGUACAGUGCCAUUGACACAACAGGGUCUGUCCUUGUACACUCUAUGGUGAGUUGGGGGCUUUCUUUGACAUGGUUUAAAUUACCACCUCUCACUUCCU